This 98-nucleotide small RNA is filed under the name Pseudorhizobium banfieldiae. RNAcentral's name for it is "Rhizobium sp. NT-26 Alphaproteobacterial ar15". It matches the Rfam family "Alphaproteobacterial ar15". The record is from Rfam by way of RNAcentral. Lineage: Bacteria; Pseudomonadati; Pseudomonadota; Alphaproteobacteria; Hyphomicrobiales; Rhizobiaceae.
GGCUGGACACGGCAACCUAAAGUUGCCGCUUCAGCUGUUCCCCUCUGGAGGUUUGACCUUCACACCUCGGGCCUGGAGUUUUCUCCCGGCCCUCUUUU